ACCACCACCCCCUCUGAACCCCCAUUUCGUCUCUCUCAACUCUUCAUCUCUCAGAGACAAAAGGAAACCCUAAGUUGCCACAAAAAACUCCAUGCUCUUUCCGAUGGCGGCGCCACCACCAAACUACCCCAAAUCAACACCCCAAACUCCCCUUCCUCCCUUCAUAUAUAAUUCGUCGUUGUUUCCCUUCGAAUCUUAAAUCCAAGUUCGACCUUUAAAAGUUUAAAAAACAUUUUUCAUCGAACCUGGUAGCAUGCAUGCUCAUAGGGUGUUGUUCUUUCGAGCUUUGAAGUUUGGAUUCAAAAAAAUUGAUGUCGUUCAGUUGUUCUUGACAAAUAACAAAGGAUCAACAUUAGUUUUGUUAGGUCAUUUGUCUCAAGUAGGUUUCGAGUCCUGAUUUGGUAAGUUCCCCCCCCCCCCCCCCCCCCUUUUUUUUUUUUUUUUUUUUUUUUUUUUUUUUUUUUUGUUUUUUUUUUUUUUUUUUUUUUUUUUUUUUUUUUUUUUUNNNNNNNNNNNNNNNNNNNNNNNNNNNNNNNNNNNNNNNNNNNNNNNNNNNNNNNNNNNNNNNNNNNNNNNNNNNNNNNNNNNNNNNNNNNNNNNNNNNNNNNNNNNNNNNNNNNNNNNNNNNNNNNNNNNNNNNNNNNNNNNNNNNNNNNNNNNNNNNNNNNNNNNNNNNNNNNNNNNNNNNNNNNNNNNNNNNNNNNNNNNNNNNNNNNNNNNNNNNNNNNNNNNNNNNNNNNNNNNNNNNNNNNNNNNNNNNNNNNNNNNNNNNNNNNNNNNNNNNNNNNNNNNNNNNNNNNNNNNNNNNNNNNNNNNNNNNNNNNNNNNNNNNNNNNNNNNNNNNNNNNNNNNNNNNNNNNNNNNNNNNNNNNNNNNGGUUUGUUCAUUCCUUUACUAUUUUAUUUCUUUAUUCUCCUUCGAUUUUACAUUGGUUUAGUUUUCUUCUACUAGCUUAUUUGAAAGUAGACCAAUCCUCCGGGUUUAAAUUGUCUUCUGUUCGUUGUUUUUUUUCUUUUUCCUUUGUAAAGGCUUGUUCAAUGUUUUCCUUAAUUGUGCUAUUAGCCUAUUUAAAGUUCUGAUAUCAUAUCUCGUUUAGUCACCUAGUUAAUUUAAUUAAGGUUAUUUUGAUAACUUGGUUAAUUUACUGCUUACUUGUGUGUAGUAAUCAGUCGAUUAGUGUAGGUUUUAAUUCUCAAAAUCAUUCAAGUGAUUGCCCUUUGUUUGUUGACUGAUAUGAUUCAAUUUCUUUUGUUGUUUGGACUUUGAAGCCAUUGCAUACCACACCCCAAUGGGGUUAGUUUAGGUCAUUGGGUCAGAAUUGAGCCCACAGUUGGUUUAACUAUGGGGGCAUUUUGAACCAUUUGGUUUCCUAGAGUAAAAAACAUGGUUUAAAGGGUUGAUUUAGGAACUCUAGGUGGGGAAAUCUCAGUAAGUGAUUGAGUAAGAUUCCUAGAAGUUUGGGUGGGGACCUAACUGAAAAUCGGAAUUUUACACCAAGGUUUCUAAUUAAAAAUGAAAAUAAAAAAAUGUCCUAAAGGCAAAACAUAGUUCAUCUCUGCAGACUUAAUACUUUGCCUAUAAAGGCAUCGUUUCUUUGCCAACAAGGGAAAUUUUGGCAGAUAAAAAUACUAAAAAAUUAAGCAGCUAGAGUUUUUGGGAGGAAAAGUCUGAAAAAAUAUUGAGCGAAAGAAGAAAGAACUUCAAAAUUCUUGUGUUUUUAGUGAACAAUUUGUCUAGUUUUGAGUUAGUCUCUUCAUUCUGAAACCAAAAAGGAUUUUCUUAGCUUAUUCUGGAAUGGAAGCUAGUUUAAGGGAUGUUGUGUCACUGUUCUAUUGAUGAAAUUCUGAAGUGCUUCCGUUGUUUGCUUCUUCUUUGUUGAACUACUACUACUGUUGUCAAAUAACUGCAAGAUCAUUGUAUUUAGUUUGGGACCAUUAUGAUACUUGGGAAAUAUUUUAGUUGGUUGAAUCGGUAGUUUUAGACUCUACAUUCCAUCGCUUAAAUAAUGUAAUUGGGUAGAUAAAUGUUUCUUUUAAGAUUCGUGUGUAUAAAAUCGUGUUGAGAGAAAAUGAAAAGGAAAUGGUCUAGUUUGCUUCAAUGGGUAAAAACAUGCAUUGAUUAGCAUGUGAAUGUCUUUAAACUUAGAAAUGGCUGUCAGUUCAAUUCUAGUUAGUGAUUGAAUAACUAGUAAUUGUCAGUUUAAUUUUGCUUCUAUUCAGUGUCAAUCUUACAGGAACUACUAAUAUGGGACUCAUUUGAUGUUUAAAUUCUCAUGUCAUUACUUCAAGUUAGCUUGAAACCUUAAUAUUUAAAGUUAUAUAUUAUCCAGCUAUCAAAUUGGAAUUUUCAAUUAUUUUCGAAAUUAUGUCAUUAUUAAAAUCUCAUGAAAUUGUCCAUUACGUAGUUAAAAGCUAUUUUGAAAAUCGUCUGCAUAUACAUUUGUGUUUUGGUGAUAGUAAUUCAGGUUCACAUCGGCACCCAUUGAUUUUUCAGAUGCAGCUUGGCUUUUAAGGAUUCGAAGUCGAGUCCUCACUUGCUAAUCUCAGGCUCCUGAAAGUUUUGGGCUCAUCUUGGACUUAAGUCUGAAAAGACUUGCAAAAUCGAAACUACGCACUUUGUAUCAUUUAGGUUUGUUUUGCUCUGUUGGCUCGGUUCUCUCGUUUGUUUGGGUUGUUGACGAAGUAAUGUCUCUUUAGGUAAUUGUUUGUUUAAUAAGACGCUCAUGGGUAGCUGAUUUAGUUCGAACUUUUAGCAUAUAGGUAUUUUGAAUGCCUUUAGGUUUCUCCUUAAUUAACUAGAUUUUUUAAAAUGAGUUGAGGUGUGCCAUAUUAGCCAAAUGUAUAAUUUGUGGCCCUUAUGAGCUUAUUUAGAAACCUUGUUUGUUAGAAAAAUCAAGGCGCGCCAUGCCAAGUAAAAGAUUCAAAAUGCACGGCCCUCAUUUAAUUGAUCUUGAACCUUUGGAAAUCGAGGUGUGCCAUUAGCUUAAUUUUCAUGGCCCUCGCAACCAAGCGGGGGAUAAUAUCAUUCAAGCAUAGCUUCAGGCAAGGGAAUGGAGUGGCACACGUUUUGGCAAAUGCAGCACUAAGAAAUAACUCUUUUGAUAAGCUAUACAGUUUUGGUACACCUCCUGAUUUUGAUAGGGCCGUCUAUGAGAAUGAUAUGGAGGACUAUGUUUAUGUUAGAACUAGUUGUAUUAAAUAAUGUGAAGAUUUAGCUGCACUAGGAAAUAUGAGUGCCAUAUGUAGCCUAAUGAUAGAUUCUAAUGAUGCAUGUAUGACAAACAUCCAUAGGGGAAACCAUCUCUCUCUACUUAACUUAAUAUGUAUACAUAUAUAAAAUAUGUUUUCUGUUUCAAAAAUAAAAAUGUGCUACUUAUCCCUCUCUAUGUAACUUAAUAUGUGUUUAUAUAUAUAUAUAUAUAUAAUAUGAUUUCUGUUUCAAAAAUAAAAAGGUGCUACUUCACAAUGCCUUAAAAGAAAAUCUUAAAUUAUAUUUAAUCAGAGAGCCAUAUUUACACAAAACCAUCCGAACCCUAAAAAAAAGGAGUGCAUUUAUUGUUGGUUGAUGAAGUUGCUGGACAGAAGUAAAUUUUUUUAAUUUUUGAGACGCAAAACUGGAACUAAUAGUACAGACGUGAAAUACCAUCAAAUAUGCAUAUGAAGUUUAAAUAGCAAGAGUAAUAGAGACGUAGCAGAAGAAAAACAUUUAAUAUCACAUUUUAAGGUAGCCUGCAAUAUCAGAAAACAUUUAAUACUAGCAUGUAGUUUCUUUAGUUGUUUCUGUAGAAAAGAAUUUGUUCUUUAAUUGCAAAUAACCAUCGGGAAGAUUUCACUUUUGUUUUGGGAUGUCAAACCAAGACUUGUCUAUUUUUCUCCCCCUCCACUAAUUAAUUUUCUUUGCUUCAUUUAACGUGUUCUUUGCAUCAUCAUUUCAGGUUCAAUAUCACGUUUUAAGGUACAUACAAAACUGGUAGCCUGCACAAUCAGAAAAUUCAUCCAGUGCAUUAAAGGCUUAGCUCUUCUUGGCAGCUAGCUUUUCUGGAUCUUUGAAAAGAAUGGAUUUCUGUAGAAAAGAAUUUGUUCUUUAAUUGCAAAUAACCAUCGAGAAUAUUUCACUUUUGUUUUGGGAUGUCAAACAAAGACUUGUCUAUUUUUCUCCCUCUUCACUAAUUAAUUUUCUUAGCUUUAUUUAACGUGUUUUUGCAUCAUCAUUUCAGGUUCAAUAUCACAUUUUAAGGUACAUACAAAAUUGGUAGCCUGCACUAUCAGAAAAUUCAUCCAGUGCAUUAAAGGCUUAGCUCUUCUUGGCAGCUAGCUUUUCUGGAUAUUCAAAACCCCUUCCACCAACACACCACCAUAACCAUCAGCGCCGUUUCCUGACCUCUUGUAUUCAGUAGGCCUCAAGUGAGGAAUUCUUUUUCCACUACGUACCCCUCUUCUUGGAUUUGGUAGCAUAUAUAUAGCUGUAAGUAAUUAGUCGUUGCACCAUUUGUUAUUCUUUCUUUGUUUUGUGGUUUGUAAGUGUUCACAUUUGCUUAUAAUCUUUGAUAUCGCAAUUCUUAGACUGUAAUAGGAGGUUUAGCUUUUUGGUUUUGACUGUUUAAGAGUUUAAUACUAACAUGUAGUUUCUUUAGUUGUUUUUGUAGAAAAGAAUUAGUUUGAUAAUUGCAAAUAACCACCGGGAAGAUUUCACUUUUGUUUUGGGAUGUCAAACAAACACUUGCCUAUUUUUCUCCCCUCCACUAACUAAUUUUCUUAGCUUCAACUGUACGUACUUGUUGAAGCCAUUUAAUUCUUUGCAUCAUCAUUUCAGGUUCUUUUUAUUAGUGUCCUACAUUAACAUUGUUCUCGCCAGUCUUUUCAGAUUGGGUUGAUCUGCUGAUUUGAUCAGGUAGCUAUUUAUAAAUUUGAGUUUGCAUUGCUAUCUAGUAAGAUUUGAAAAAUUCUAGUAGUAAUGAAUACUAAAGAAUUCCAUUAUGUCAUUCAGGUUAAGAUGUUGCGCCGCACAAUCAGUUGUCCAAUAGCCUAUUCCCAGAGGUAUAUUACUGCUCUCAAAACUUGAUGCUUAGUGAAAUAAUUAGAAGUAGAGUUGUAACAACAAAGGAGCUUUAGUGUUUCCAUAGACUUAAUUCCUUGGAUAAUUAUAGUUAUCAAAAUUAUAUAUUUAAUAAAGUUACCGUCCAUGAGAAGGAUAUGGAGGACUAUGUUUAUGUAUGAACUAGUAGUGUUAAACAAUGUGAAGAUCUAGCUGCACUAGGAAAUAUGAGUGUCAUAUGUAGCCUAAUGAUAGAUUCUAAUGAUGCAUGUAUGUCAAACAUCCAUAGGGGGAAACCAUCCCUCUCUAUUUAACUUUAUAUAUAUAUAUAUAUAUAUAAAAUAUGCUUUCUGUUUCAAAAAUAAAAAGGUGCUACUUCACAAUGCCUUAAAAGAAAAUCUUAAAAUAUAUUUAAUCAGAGACUCAUAUUUACACAAAACCAUCCGAACCCUAAAAAAAAGGAGUGCAUUUAUUGUUGGUUGGGAUGUCAAACAAAGACUUGUCUAUUUUUCUCCCCCUCCACUAAUUAAUUUUCUUAGCUUCAUUUAACGUAUUCUUUGCAUCAUCAUUUCAGGUUCAAUAUGACAUUUUAAGGUACAUACAAAAUUGGUAGCCUGCACUAUCAGAAAAUUCAUCCAGUGCAUUAAAGGCUUAGCUCUUCUUGGCAGGUAGCUUUUCUGGAUAUUCAAAAACUCUUCCACCAACACACCACCAUAAUCAUCAGCACCGUUUCCUGACCUCAUGUAUUCAGUAGGCCUCAAGUGAGGAAUUCUUUUUCCACUACGUACCCCUCUUCUUGGAUUUGGUAGCAUAUAUAUAUAUAUAUAUAUAUAGCUGUAAGUAAUUAGUCGUUGCACCAUUUUUUAUUCUUUCUUUGUUUUGUGGUUUGUAAGUAUUCACAUUUUGCUUAUAAUCUUUGAUAUCGCAAUUCUUAGACUGCAAUAGGAGGUUUAGCUUUUUGGUUUUGACUGUUUAAGAGUUUAAUACUAGCAUGUAGUUUCUUUAGUUGUUUCAGUAGAAAAGAAUUAGUUUGAUAAUUGCAAAUAACCACCGGGAAGAUUUCACUUUUGUUUUGGGAUGUCAAACAAACACUUGCCUAUUUUUCUCCCCCUCCACUAACUAAUUUUCUUAGCUUCAACUGUACGUACUUGUUGAAGCCAUUUAAUUCUUUGCAUCAUCAUUUCAGGUUCUUUUUAUUAGUGUCCUACAUUAACAUUGUUCUCGCCAGUCUUUUCAGAUUGGGUUGAUCUGCUGAUUUGAUCAGGUAGCUAUUUAUAAAUUUGAGUUUGCAUUGCUAUCUAGUAAGAUUUGAAAAAUUCUAGUAGUAAUGAAUACUAAAGAAUUCCAUUAUGUCAUUCAGGUUAAGAUGUUGCGCCGCACAAUCAGUUGUCCAAUAGCCUAUUCCCAGAGGUAUAUUACUGCUCUCAAAACUUGAUGCUUAGUGAAAUAAUUAGAAGUAGAGUUGUAACAACAAAGGAGCUUUAGUGUUUCCAUAGAGUUAAUUCCUUGGAUAAUUAUAGUUAUCAAAAUUAUAUAUUUUAUAUAGUUACUAGGUAUUCCUUGUAAAGCAUUGGCCGGUAAGGAUACCGACGUUUGCGGUCACUAUUGCGGUCGAUCUGAUAGAGAUGUAAUCUGAUCCCAACAAUAUCAAAUUAUUAAUAUAAACAACUCAACACCAAUAUUUACGAAAUAUCAACAAAAAAGAAGAUGAAACGUAUAAAACAUUAAAGAAUCACUAAUACAACUGAUAAAAUCCAAUACCUCGAAAUCCCAAAAAAUAUGAAGUAAAUGAACAAACUACGAUGUAUCACAAAAUUAAAAGCAAUAAAAGAGUUAAAUAAACAAAGUCACAACAACAACAACAACAACAACAACCCAAUGUAGUCCUACAAGUGGAGUCUGGGGACGGUUGGAUGUAUGCAACCUUACCCUACCCUGGAAGGAAAGAGAGACUUUUUUCGAUAGCUCAAAAAAAUCAAAUAGCAAGUGAUGACAACUCAUAAAUAAAAACACGGUUAUAAAAAAACAAUUAACAAGUAAGGCAUGCAACAGAUAAAGGCAUGAUUCGACAAGUAAUCGCGAUUAAAAUUUUUAAGCAUAUAAGAGUAUAUUUCACAAUAAAGGUAGAACAUGUACUAACAACUUCAAUUUAAUGCAUGAAAUAAGACUAAGAGUCUGAACCGAACAAAUACCACAUAUAAGCCCGUGUACACACCCAUCACCUCGUGUACUCGCCUUUCUCGCAAUUCAAAUAGUACAAUCAACCCAAAUCUUAAGGGGUGGUUUCCCCUACACAAAGUUAAGCAAGAUACUUACCUCAAUUACGCUAAUUCGAAACCCAAAAUAGCGUUUUCUUUAAAAGUUACAUCCGCCUCGUUUAAAUCUAGCAAAAACUAACUUAAUAAUAUCAAAAAAUACAAGGGAACCAAUUCCAAUUAAUAGAGCUAUAAUCUUUAUAUAUUUUUUCAAAAGUCAAAAUUAGGCUCACCCGGUAAAAACCCGAGUCGAAGGGUAGCCAUAGCCCUGCGAGUUCAUAUAUAUGGUUUGUUUUCAAUUCCGAGUCAAAUUUCUCUUAAAUCUUAAAUUUUUAUUUUUCAGAUCAUAAUAAAAAAUCCCUAAAUUUUCCCUUCAAAACCCAUGAAUUUGACGUUAAAUCUCAUAAAUAAUCAUGUAAUAUAAUUAAAAAUGGAUUAAAGUGACUUAUCGAAUAGUUUGGUAUGAAAAUCUCUCAACAAAUUGAAAUCGCCUCCCGCCAAGUCUGGGAUUCCAAAUAUGAUAAGAUGAAGGUAAGUCCUGAAAUACUCAGCGAUUAACAAACUGCACAAGUGACAUGCGCAAUUGCGGAAAAAGGAUCACAAAAGCGAAACCUAGCCAGACCUACUAAUGUCGCAUUUGUUACAAUAAACUUUGCCAUUGCGAAGGUGUUUCCCCGUAGAGGCUCAUUGCAAAAGCGACUCUAGUGCCCCAAAAGCUAGCUCCAGUGUAUAUAAUUGUGAUACAAUCCCCGUAAAUGCGAGGUCCCUUCCCCAGCAGUCCUGAUUCACAACUGCGAGAUGAAACCACCACCCUCACACAAAAUUCUAACAAAAUACAUAUAAAACUCACCUGACCCCUGGGGGAUCCACAUCAAACAUUCACACAAGUCUAAAAAUAUUAUACGAACUCGAUCACACGAUCGAAAUACUAAAAUAGCAUCCACAAGAACUCUAUCACACGAUCGAAAUACUAAAAUAGCAUCCAGAACCAUCGAUCGGACACCAAAAUGCAUGAAAAUCACUAUGUGCUUUAAGAACUUCUUGAAUUGAAACCAAGCGUCCAAAUAAUAUCACACCAAUUUUAAAUGAUUCCAAAUUUUGCAGACGAGUUCUAAAUAGAAAAACGGAUCUAAUCCAUGUCCCAACACUAAAAACUGAACCCGAUAACCUUAAAGUUAAACCAUGGUCAAACUUAGGUAAAUUUUGAAUAUUUAAAUUGUCAACUUUCGGCAUAACAAGUCAAAUCAGUCUAGGGAUCUCUAAAUUAAAUUUCGAAAAUAUUGUCGAAGUUCAAAAUAACCGUACGAACCCAACUAAAACAUCAAAACUCUGAUCCGAGAUUAAAUAAGUAGAAACUUAAACUUUUUUGCACUUUUAAUUUUUUUGUAUAUAUAUUAUGGAGGUGUACAUUGUGUACUUGUUUAUGUUUUUUGUUCAAUCUUACUCUGUCAUAUUUCUUGUUACAUGAUUGAUUUGAAAAGAUUACGAUGAACUAAUUAAGAUUUCCAUCAUUUAGAGAAUUAAAUAUGUUGCAGCGAGGAAGGAGUUGUCCGCCAUCCUUUUCUGAGAGGUAAAUUCUAAAAAUUAACAGUCUCCUCUAUUUAAACAUACGUUUUUCCUCGAAUGUUCCAGGAGUCGUUCCAAAGCUAUCAAAUCACUGCAUAGGCUUUAUCUUAAGGAUACAAUGUCUUGAAGUUUUGAACCGAGAAAAACUGAACUUUGGGAUACAAGACAUUGUAUCCUUAGGUUCAAGCUUAUGCAGUGACUUGAUAGCUUUGGAACGACUCCAGGAACAUUCGAGGAAAAACGUAUGUUUAAAUAGAGGAGACUGUAACGAACCAACUAGUCAUUUUAAGCAUUUGCAAUUUGUCCGGCGGUUUGAGGUCGCGAAUAGCUUCACAUGGUGUAUUUUUUGAAUAUCGAGUGGUUCGGGAUUGAUUUGGGUGAAUGUUUCUCAUUUUUGAAGGUUUAAGUUGGAAGAUCGAGUGGUUCGGGAUUGAUUUAGGUGAAUGUUUCUCAUUUUUGAAGGUUUAAGUUGGAAGGGUAGACCAAGUUUAACUUUCUACUUAUUUAAUCUCGGAUCAGAGUUUUGAUGUUUUAGUUGGGUUCGUACGGUUAUUUUGAACUUCGACAAUAUUUUCGGAAUUUAAUUCAGGGAUCCCAAAACUGGAACUAAUAGUACAGACUUGAAAUACCAAAACAAAAGUGAAAUCUUCCCGGUGGUUAUUUGCAAUUAUCGAACUAAUUCUUUU
RNAcentral lists this long non-coding RNA (9541 nucleotides) under Nicotiana benthamiana. RNAcentral describes it as "long non-coding RNA (NBEN_LNC006525)". Lineage: Eukaryota; Viridiplantae; Streptophyta; Magnoliopsida; Solanales; Solanaceae. The record is from RNAcentral.